RNAcentral lists this ribosomal RNA (272 nucleotides) under uncultured prokaryote. RNAcentral describes it as "partial 16S ribosomal RNA". It matches the Rfam family "Bacterial small subunit ribosomal RNA", at positions 524 to 796 of the family's 1533-position model. The record is from RNAcentral.
UACGUAGGGGGCGAGCGUUGUCCGGAGUUACUGGGCGUAAAGCGCACGCAGGCGGUGCUGCACGUUUGGGGUUACAGCUCCCGGCUCAACCGGGAGAGCGCCUCGAAGACGGCAGCACUUGAGGGCCAGAGAGGGACACGGAACUCCGGGUGGAGUGGUGAAAUGCGUAGAUAUCCGGAAGAACACCAAAGGCGAAGGCAGUGUCCUGGCUGGUACCUGACGCUCAGGUGCGAAAGCUAGGGGAGCGAACGGGAUUAGAUACCCUGUAGUCC